UACGGAGGAUCCAAGCGUUAUCCGGAUUUAUUGGGUUUAAAGGGUGCGUAGGCGGACCCUUAAGUCAGUGGUGAAAGUUCGCGGCUCAACCGUGAAAUUGCCAUUGAAACUGAGGGUCUUGAGUGUAAAUAAGGUAGGCGGAAUGUGUUGUGUAGCGGUGAAAUGCUUAGAUAUAACACAGAACACCAAUUGCGAAGGCAGCUUACUGGGAUACGACUGACGCUGAGGCACGAAAGCGUGGGGAUCAAACAGG
RNAcentral lists this ribosomal RNA (253 nucleotides) under uncultured bacterium. RNAcentral's name for it is "partial 16S ribosomal RNA". It matches the Rfam family "Bacterial small subunit ribosomal RNA", at positions 524 to 776 of the family's 1533-position model. The record is from RNAcentral.